AGUGAACGCUGGCGGUAGGCCUAACACAUGCAAGUCGAACGGCAGCACAGUAAGAGCUUGCUCUUACGGGUGGCGAGUGGCGGACGGGUGAGGAAUACAUCGGAAUCUACUUUUUCGUGGGGGAGAACGUAGGGAAACUUACGCUAAUACCGCAUACGACCUACGGGUGAAAGCAGGGGAUCUUCGGACCUUGCGCGAUUGAAUGAGCCGAUGUCGGAUUAGCUAGUUGGCGGGGUAAAGGCCCACCAAGGCGACGCUCCGUAGCUGGUCUGAGAGGAUGAUCAGUCACACUGGAACUGAGACACGGGCCAGACUACGACGGGAGGCAGCAGUGGGGAAUAUUGGACAAUGGGCGAAAGCCUGAUCCAGCCAUGCCGCGGGUGUGAAGAAGGUCUUCGGAUUGUAAAGCACUUUAAGUUGGGAGGAAGGGCAGGAAGUUAAUACCGUGCUGUUUUGACGUUACCAACAGAAUAAGCACCGGCUAACUUCGUG
This 492-nucleotide ribosomal RNA is filed under the name uncultured bacterium. RNAcentral's name for it is "partial 16S ribosomal RNA". It matches the Rfam family "Bacterial small subunit ribosomal RNA", at positions 29 to 507 of the family's 1533-position model. The record is from RNAcentral.